AUACGGAGGGUGCAAGCGUUGUUCGGAAUUAUUGGGCGUAAAGCGGGCGCAGGCGGUCGUACAAGUCGGAUGUGAAAUCCCUGGGCUCAACCCAGGAACUGCAUUCGAAACUGUACGACUAGAGUCUCGGAGAGGGUGGCGGAAUUCCCGGUGUAGAGGUGAAAUUCGUAGAUAUCGGGAGGAACACCAGUGGCGAAGGCGGCCACCUGGACGAUGACUGACGCUCAGGUCCGAAAGCGUGGGGAGCAAACAGGAUUAGAAACCCCAGUAGUCC
This 274-nucleotide ribosomal RNA is filed under the name uncultured bacterium. RNAcentral's name for it is "partial 16S ribosomal RNA". It matches the Rfam family "Bacterial small subunit ribosomal RNA", at positions 523 to 796 of the family's 1533-position model. The record is from RNAcentral.